Long non-coding RNA from Anguilla anguilla (European eel), 2138 nucleotides. RefSeq lists it as uncharacterized. Lineage: Eukaryota; Metazoa; Chordata; Actinopteri; Anguilliformes; Anguillidae. The record is from RefSeq and is a predicted model, not a curated record. The transcript is spliced from 2 exons.
UUUAUGCACUCAUUUGCAUAAACAUGAGUAAUUUAUGAAUAAUAAAUGGUCUUUGCAUUCAGGGGGAAUUAUUCAUUUGCAUAUCACCGUCGCAUUACAGAUUUUUUUUUCCAGUGAGCUGUGCUAUCGCCAAGCUCUUAAAACCUGUAGAAAUCAAGGACGACAUUUAAAUAGAGAUCAGAGGGAGAGAGCCUUUUAUCUCUGUGGCAGAGUUUUGCCUCCAGUUGUGACUUGCUGGGACCAGGGUCCGAGCGGCUCGCUGGGGCACCAGACGAGGGCGGAUACUUUUGGCCCCUGUACCCUGGCAACCGGCUCCUGAGGCAGCGGCCCCGACGGGCGCUCCGCAGCUGCGCCCUCUGUCCAUCGCGGCGGCCCAAACGCAAACCCGCCAUGACCCAGUGACGGAUUGGAACCGGAUGAAAUAACAGAGCCCUUGAAGUGGGGAGUAAAUCUGACAGGACACACUGGAAAGGUCCUGGCCUACUCUUUCCCAGCUACGGCAGCCUGUGUUCUUUUCUUUCUCUCCCUCCGCUCUCCUUGCAACGGUCCCAGAGAUAAUGUCAUAAUUUACAGGCAUGCAUUGUGCGGGAUGAAUGAUGGAUGCUUUUUAGACUUAAUAAGCAUUACCCUUUAACGGAUAAUAGUCUUUUGGUAACACGCAGUCAGUGGGGAGAGACAAAAAAAGCGACACCUUCAAAAGGAAUUUUCCUUUUUAGUUCUUAUUUUCUGACUAAUGGGGGAAACCGAAAAUGUAAUUAUUUUCUUUUAUGAGCUGGCGGCUUGAUACUGAUCAAAGGGCGACCCUUUGUUCUGCAUGUUAUGCUGUUUUUUUUCUCCCUCUCCCUCUUGCUCUUCCCCCUCUCUCUUUCUCUCUCUACCUCUCUCUCACUCUCUCCCCCCCUCAUUCUCGGAUGGUCUUUUUCUUAAACAUAUUAAGAAAACAACAAAACAAUGCAUCCGCUGCACAGCAGAGUACACCUUAAGCAGGAAGCUGUUCGCUCCUGCUCUGGACGCAUCUGUGAGUCUGCUGUCUCUGCCGGGCGCCCUGCUCUCGCCGCGUCUUCUGAGGAGCUCAGGGGCGGAUUCACGCAGGGAUCAGAGCCAGGGGAUGCGUCUGCGGCAAACCCUGCCGCGCUACAAACACGCGCUCCGCGCUGCUGACCGCGGUGGUCGAAUCUUCUCGCCAGUUAGGCGACCUGGAAAGCGUUGGCAGUGUGACCGAGAGCCUGGCAGGGGGAGGGGCUGCCUGACUGACUGCGGGUCACAUCCUAUAGGGACUCAUGGACACGCUGAGAACCGCCCCCUGGGGACUCUUAACUGAUACUUUAAUGAAUGUCCAGUGACCCACUGACCUCAUCACUAUGUCGGUGACCAGAAGUUAAACGGGCGUCUGGGGAACAUAUGACAUCAUCAAAGGGAGAUGUACUCUGACCAAAGGAAUUGACAUGGAAAUGUGUAGAUGUAAUGAUGUAAAGCAGACUAUUUUCUAGAUCUUUCUUUCUAGUAUCUAGUUCUGACAUUUUACAUUGAUAAUCUAGUCUUUUGCUCAUUAAAUGUUUUUGCGGAGAAAAAACAGAAAACAAUGGUUAUAUUUUGUAUUGCGUUAAAAGCCAGCACUUUAUUGUUAGUAUAUUUUAAUCUCAUAAAUGUUUUUUAGGUUUAACCUUUUUGGUAAUCCCGUUUUAUUAUCCCUCAAUAUUUAAUUCAGUUCUGAUAUUUCUUGUACACAACCGCUAUCAAGCAAAAGGCAGUAUUUUUCCACUUCCAGAAGGACACAUUUAGGCAGAGCAGUUAGAGCAGGGAUCCUAUAAUUCAGAUAAAUCUUACUUUCAUGGGGUGACAAAGACAAAGCUCAGCACACUGGCAUCCUCACUCACUAAUCAAUAACUAUGCCUUCAUAACUCCAUACUUCUUUAUAUAACCACAUUAAGGAAAUUGACUGAUCAAUGAAAUGAUUGAUUUCAUUGUUCAGUAAGUAUGCACACCGCAGGUUUGCAUAUAAAUGUGUUUGAUUAAAUGAAUAGUUGGUUGUGUAAAAGUGCAUACAUGCAACAUAUCAAGUGAAGUGACCUGAUGAUUAUGCUUGGUGAAUGCACUGAAGAUCUAAAUUUGACAAUAAAACAGUGGUAUCAAUUGAU